Molecule: ribosomal RNA, 253 nt
Filed under: uncultured bacterium
Lineage: Bacteria
Description: partial 16S ribosomal RNA
Rfam family: Bacterial small subunit ribosomal RNA
Source: RNAcentral
UACGGGGGGGGCAAGCGUUGUUCGGAAUUACUGGGCGUAAAGGGCUCGUAGGCGGCCAACUAAGUCAGACGUGAAAUCCCUCGGCUUAACCGGGGAACUGCGUCUGAUACUGGAUGGCUUGAAUCCGGGAGAGGGAUGCGGAAUUCCAGGUGUAGCGGUGAAAUGCGUAGAUAUCUGGAGGAACACCGGUGGCGAAGGCGGCAUCCUGGACCAACACUGACACUGAGGAGCGAAAGCCAGGGGAGCAAACGGG